This 377-nucleotide unclassified non-coding RNA is filed under the name Hevea brasiliensis (rubber tree). The record is from RNAcentral. Lineage: Eukaryota; Viridiplantae; Streptophyta; Magnoliopsida; Malpighiales; Euphorbiaceae.
UGAAGCUGUUACACAGCACAUUUACUGGUUGUUCACAAUAUUUUCCAAGUGUAACACAAUAGUGAAAGCAUGGAAUUGACCUUGUAAAUAAUCUGCUAGGUAUCCCAUAAUUGUAUUUUUGUAACACUAGUUGCAUAGAAUGUGGGAAUCCAACAGCUUACAGAUUAGCAAUUCUGUAAAUAAUGGAGAGGAAAACAAUGUAUAAUAAAUUGCUUGAUGAACUACUUGCCACAGUUCAACUGGUUUGGUUUCAAAUGAUGAUACUUUUUCUUUUAACCUUAAUUGCCAAACAGUUAAUACAACCAAAUGCCUCGGAUUCUUCAGAACAAUAGCUUUAGUUCAAUUAACAUUUAGAAAUCUCAUAUUUGGUUAUGGCA